UUUUGGACAAUGUGGGCAACCCUGAUCCAGCCAUGCCGCGUGAGUGAAGAAGGCCUUCGGGUUGUAAAGCUCUUUCGGACGGAACGGAAUGGGCGGGACUAAUACUCCUGUCUGAUGACGGUACCGUAAGAAGAAGCACCGGCUAACUACGUGCCAGCAGCCGCGGUAAUACGUAGGGUGCGAGCGUUAAUCGGAAUUACUGGGCGUAAAGCGUGCGCAGGCGGUUUCGUAAGCUGGAGGUGAAAUCCCCGGGCUUAACCUGGGAAUGGCCUUCAGGACUGCGAGGCUAGAGUGCGGCAGAGGGAGGUGGAAUUCCACGUGUAGCAGUGAAAUGCGUAGAGAUGUGGAGGAACACCGAUGGCGAAGGCAGCCUCCUGGGCCAGCACUGACGCUCAUGCACGAAA
This 404-nucleotide ribosomal RNA is filed under the name uncultured bacterium. RNAcentral's name for it is "bacterial SSU rRNA". It matches the Rfam family "Bacterial small subunit ribosomal RNA", at positions 362 to 758 of the family's 1533-position model. The record is from RNAcentral.